CUUUUAAUGAGAGUUUGAUCCUGGCUCAGGACGAACGCUGGCGGCGUGCCUAAUACAUGCAAGUAGAACGCUGAGGUUUGGUG
Molecule: ribosomal RNA, 83 nt
Filed under: Streptococcus agalactiae
Lineage: Bacteria; Bacillati; Bacillota; Bacilli; Lactobacillales; Streptococcaceae
Also listed under: 1 other name
Description: partial 16S ribosomal RNA
Rfam family: Bacterial small subunit ribosomal RNA
Source: RNAcentral